AAAAAUAAAAGUCAUGUUAAAUUUCAAAAAAUCAGAAAAGUUUGUGUAUUUACAAGCUAAUAAACCUUUAAUUAAAGAUUUAUUUUUUAGGGGUAAUUGCCUGUAAAUCCAUAACGUUUACACGGAAUUGGUUUUUGCUCCUAUUUUGAAAAAUCUGCCCCUAAAUACAUAAUCUUUCAUUUGUGUCUGGUUUUUCUCCCGUCGCCGGUUUUUUCUUUCGCCGGUGUCAAAAAUUACACGGUGGCAGCCGGAAUCGAUGAGUUGGCAGCCGAAAAUUGACACAUAGGUAUAUUAUUGACAUGUGGAAAAAAAAUUUUUAAAAAAAAAGCAAAAAACAAAACCCAACCCCAUCGUCUUCUUCCCCCUUCCUCCUCCCCCACCCGCCGCCGCCACCCUCUGCCACCGGCGACGGCGCCCGCCGCCCCCUCCCUCUCCCCACCUCGGCGACGGCGAGCCACGCCCCCUUCUCCUCGGUUGUUCAUCUCUCUCUCCCCCUUUGAAUUUCUCAUUGAGCCCUUCCGCCAAUUUCUUCCUAUCCUUUAAUCUCCCCCAGAUUUAAACCGUCACCUGCAGCCGACUUCUUUCUAAUAAAAAAGAAGAUUAACUACUAUACAUCGAGAUUCUUCAGAGAUCGAGCAAUCUCCUCACAUCCAAAGCGCGGCUUCUUUCUCGACUCUGAUUUUCGCAAUCGAAGCAGUCGAAAACCGUGAAUAUCAACGCGUCGGUUAGAGCUACAAUCGGAAUCAAAGCCGUGUAGAAUUUCUCGGCAAAUCUCAACAAGCUCGAGCUCUGCUCAUCGCCAUUAACAUUCACGCACAACUACAAUGUCAACGAAUUCUACAGAAGCAAAUUGGGCGAGAAUUUGAGCUAAUUGAGCGAAUUGGAGCUGAAAUCAUCGUCGUUAGGGUUUUCAUUUUCGGAGUAGUAGAGAACGGCGAGCUCGGUGAGGGCGAGGACGAGGAGGGUGGAGACGUGACGGUGGGAGGUCUUGGGUCUUGGGGGCGACGAGGGGGAGGGGGCGAGAUUGGCUGCGGAGGUGGUGGGAAGGGCUGCGUGGGUACAGACCAACUGGCGCUUCUGCGGUGGCGGUAGCGGCGGCAGGGGUGGCGCCGACGGCAGAGGGUGGUGGCGGUGGGUGGGGGAGGAGGAAGGGGGAACAAGACGAUGGGGUUGGG
Molecule: long non-coding RNA, 1175 nt
Filed under: Salvia miltiorrhiza (redroot sage)
Lineage: Eukaryota; Viridiplantae; Streptophyta; Magnoliopsida; Lamiales; Lamiaceae
Description: long non-coding RNA (SMIL_LNC009539)
Source: RNAcentral